GAGCUCGCUUCUCAGCACAUAGACUGAAUUUGGAUCGAUACACAGAAGAUGCGCAUGGCCCCUGUGCAAGGCUCACCUGCGAAUUCAUGAAGCAUUUCACAUUUUA
Molecule: small nuclear RNA, 106 nt
Organism: Mustela putorius furo (domestic ferret)
Lineage: Eukaryota; Metazoa; Chordata; Mammalia; Carnivora; Mustelidae
Source: Ensembl